RNAcentral lists this microRNA precursor (84 nucleotides) under Echinops telfairi (small Madagascar hedgehog). RNAcentral's name for it is "miRNA (ENSETEG00000020502.1)". Lineage: Eukaryota; Metazoa; Chordata; Mammalia; Afrosoricida; Tenrecidae. The record is from RNAcentral.
GGCCUCCAGGGCCUUGUACACUCUAGGCUUUCAUUCAUUGUCGCACACUCAGUGAAGGCCUACUGUGUGCCAGGCCCCUCUGCC